CAAGAACCCUAAAGGAAGAAAGAAGAAUUUUGAAUAACAAGGUUGUAUGCAAUGCAAAAAGCAAGCCACAACCGAGAAAGAAAGAAAUAUGAGUGUGGAUUUAAGUGGGCCAUGGCUGGCAUUGUAAAGAGAGAAGUAUGGGCAUGGAAGAGUAUAGCGAGAAGAGAAAAGUAUUUUGGACUUAUUCCAAUGGCAAUAAUCUAGGUGGUUUGGAAAGAAAAGAAUAAGAGAGUUUUUUAGUGCAUGGAGGAGAGCAUCAAGAAGCCCAGGGAGAGACGGUUCCAAUCCCUUAAUGUGUUGAUUUUGAAACAACAAUUGUAUUUCAUAGAGAAUUUAGGUGAACUAUGAUAUGUAAAUUUUUUUGUACAUGGUUUUUUGCACCCUCUUGGUGCAUGUAAUUAAUACAUUUCAUACGUUUUACCUCAAAAAAAAAUCAAAUAUCUAACCUCCAAGUCAAGCAUAAGUAUAAAUAGAAAAGAAAGAGGUUUCUGACAACUCAGUUGUUCCUCUGCCUACCCACAUUGAUUCCUAGAACUAAUGGCCAAAUAAGACCCAAUAACUUAAGUAAAUUAAACAACCAACAAGCAGUUGUUUCAUGUUUCAUGUUUCAUGUUUCACGUUUUCCAAGAAAAUUGCUAGAAAAAGGAAACAAAUAAAAGAAGUUCAGUUCAACAAAUACAAAGCAUUGCUUUAAGAAAAUUAUCCUCCGUUCGAUAUAUGAUAACAUUUUCUAGUUUCAUCUUCUAAUUCAUGUGUUUAUGCAUAAGAAUGAAAUAAUACUUAAGAAAUGAUUGUGAAAAGAAGGAUAG
Molecule: long non-coding RNA, 809 nt
Filed under: Carica papaya (papaya)
Lineage: Eukaryota; Viridiplantae; Streptophyta; Magnoliopsida; Brassicales; Caricaceae
Description: long non-coding RNA (CPAP_LNC013553)
Source: RNAcentral